Molecule: long non-coding RNA, 1894 nt
Organism: Bos grunniens (domestic yak)
Lineage: Eukaryota; Metazoa; Chordata; Mammalia; Artiodactyla; Bovidae
Source: Ensembl
GCAACUAUGGGUCUCAGCACAUUAUUCUGUUGAGUUACUAUUAUGUGACCAAGGCUGGGUGGGACAGGACUGGGUUAUACAUGAGUUUCAGUGUAUAAGAAAAGACAAGGACAGUAUCAGAGUUGAAGAAACAUACCUGCUUAUAAUAAGUACAUUUUAGAUAAUUUCAUUCAGUAGAUGCUAUGGCAGAGGCAGUGUACAAUGAAUGAGCAAUUUCACAUUUUUGAGAGACCAACACAAUAAUCUAAGCAGAGUUCAUUCAGAAACUGCUAGAUUCUUGACUCCUAAGAAUACCUGGAACCAGUUCUUUUUUUUUUUUUUAAUCAAACCAGUUGAUGUUCACGCAUUGCGUGCAUGCACCCCUAACAUGAGGCAAAAAAAAAAAAAUCUCCCUCUGUAAAACUGGCUUUCACUCACCUUCCUUGGGUCCGGGUCUCCGGUGCUAUGGUCUCUGACACCCUGCUUUGAGCUGGAUGUGCCCUGAUCAUUGGUGCUUGCCUGAAGGAGACUUGGCUAAUCUGAGAUUCUUGUUCUGUAUAUCCCAGGAUUUUGACCCCAGCUAGUUCCUGGAAACUUGACUUCCUGCUCAGUCUUCCCCUAAUUCCAUGUUCCACUAGCUGCCAUGCCCAGUUGCUGCGUGUGUCUGGGUGAGGCAGUCACACUUCAGAAUUGGUACCCGUAUUGAUGCUGCAAGUAUCUCAACCAGAGGUAUAGACCUGCCUUCACAUUCAUGCUUCAUGGGUGGAGAGGAGGAUAAAGGGACAAUGCUUAUCAGGCUGCUGGCAGGAAUCCAUGAAAAUCAUAGUGCCGAGCAGAAGAGCAGACUCGCCACGCCCUGUGCUGCCCCAGGAGGGCUGGUCCCUCAGGCACCUUCCCAAAGAGAAGCCUGCUUUUCUGUAGGAAGGCAGAGAGGGCUUCAGAACCGCCCCGGCCUCUUAAAUAAGGCACAUCCCAGUCCAGUAUACCCUCUUCCCCUCACUCCUCGACCCGAAAUAUGGGGAAAAGCUGCAUGAUCUCACUCUUCUAAAGAAGACAAACCUGGAAGUGACUCCAUCCCCUGACGCUCAAGCAGAGAAAGCUCAUCGAUGACGUCACCUCCUUUUCCCUCAAAAGUCAAGCUUAAGCAUGACCUUCCCUCAAACCCGGCAGGAAAGAUCAGGCAUGAUGUCAGCCGACCCCCACCCCACUCCUCUCUCCCCACCCAGCUGGCCGAUGACUCGUUUUCACCCCGAGGACGGAAGACGGCAUCUCAGAAGUGACUCUGCCUGGAGGUGUGGGUGUCUGGCUGGCCGCUGCUUCGUCUCAGUCCCGGCAGGCCCAUCUGCCUAGAAGGCAGCCAGGAGUCAGUGAGGAGUCACACGAACCGUGACUCAGCACGUGGCAGCAGACAGGAAUUCGUUCAGGGCUCAACAUCCAAUAAGGAGUUUUCAGGCAAGUCUGGAGGGCAAGAUGAGCCAGCUCACAAUGAGAAACUGAAAAGCAAAAGGGAAACCAGGACUGAGAAAUUCCUAGGGGGAAAGAAAAAAAAAAACGCACAACCUUGGCCGGGAGAAGGUUACUUGAAUUGACAGGGAUAUGAGGCAAGGGCGACCUCGGACCUACAUCAGCUCACGGCUCUGCCAGCACUCAGGAAGCCAGCCGUCUCUCGGUCUAGUUUGCUGUAUGCCCUUCUGACCUCCUCUGCAGGUGCUGGGUCCUCCUUGCAAAGAAGGACCAGCCCCAAGAAGGACAGGACAGCCUAAGUGUGCAUCAGGGCCUCAGCACCCAGGAGCAAUAGUGUUUGAGUCUGCAGUCCAGAUUUAACACAUGAAGAGGAACAGGAUAGGAAGAAAAUAAAAGAUUGUAAAUAAAAGAUGGAAUGUCCAUCGUGGGGAGGCUGGUGUGUGGGAAUGGG